RNAcentral lists this ribosomal RNA (795 nucleotides) under uncultured bacterium. Its description in RNAcentral is "bacterial SSU rRNA". It matches the Rfam family "Bacterial small subunit ribosomal RNA", at positions 8 to 796 of the family's 1533-position model. The record is from RNAcentral.
AGAGUUUGAUCCUGGCUCAGAUUGAACGCUGGCGGAAUGCUUUACACAUGCAAGUCGAACGGCAGCACGGGAGCUUGCUCCUGGUGGCGAGUGGCGAACGGGUGAGUAAUGCGUCGGAACGUACCGAGUAAUGGGGGAUAACGCACCGAAAGGUGUGCUAAUACCGCAUACGCCCUCCGGGGGAAAGCAGGGGAUCGUAAGACCUUGCGUUAUUCGAGCGGCCGACGUCUGAUUAGCUAGUUGGUGAGGUAAUGGCUCACCAAGGCGACGAUCAGUAGCGGGUCUGAGAGGAUGAUCCGCCACACUGGAACUGAGACACGGUCCAGACUCCUACGGGAGGCAGCAGUGGGGAAUUUUGGACAAUGGGGGCAACCCUGAUCCAGCCAUUCCGCGUGAGUGAAGAAGGCCUUCGGGUUGUAAAGCUCUUUCAGCUGGAACGAAACGGUACGCUCUAACAUAGUGUGCUAAUGACGGUACCAGCAGAAGAAGCACCGGCUAACUACGUGCCAGCAGCCGCGGUAAUACGUAGGGUGCGAGCGUUAAUCGGAAUUACUGGGCGUAAAGCGUGCGCAGGCGGAUUGUUAAGCAAGACGUGAAAUCCCCGGGCUUAACCUGGGAAUGGCGUUUUGAACUGGCAGUCUAGAGUGUGUCAGAGGGGGGUAGAAUUCCGCGUGUAGCAGUGAAAUGCGUAGAUAUGCGGAGGAACACCGAUGGCGAAGGCAAUCCCCUGGACCUGUACUGACGCUCAUGCACGAAAGCGUGGGGAGCAAACAGGAUUAGAUACCCUGGUAGUCC